CUAAGAAUAUUCCGCAAUGGACGGAAGUCUGACGGAGCGACGCCGCGUGGAUGACGAAGGCCGAAAGGUUGUAAAGUUCUUUUGCUGGGGAAGAAUAACCGCAGGAGGGAAUGCCUGUGGGAUGACAAGAACCGGCGAAUAAGCCCCGGCCAACUACGUGCCAGCAGCCGCGGUAACACGUAGGGGGCGAGCGUUGUUCGGAAUUACUGGGCGUAAAGGGCAUGUAGGCGGCUUGGAAAGCCUGGCGUGAAAGUCUGCAGCUUAACUGCAGGGGUGCGCUGGGAACUGCUGAGCUUGAGUGACGGAGAGGGAGCUGGAAUUCCUGGUGUAGGGGUGAAAUCUGUAGAUAUCAGGAAGAACACCGAUGGCGAAGGCAAGCUCCUGGCCGAUGACUGACGCUGAGGUGCGAAAGUGUGGGGAUCAAACAGGAUUAGAUACCCUGGUAGUCCACACAGUCAACGAUGUGCACUAGGUGCUGGGGCGGUAGCUUCGGUGCCGGGGCGAACGUGGUAAGUGCACCGCCUGGGGAGUAU
This 533-nucleotide ribosomal RNA is filed under the name uncultured bacterium. RNAcentral describes it as "partial 16S ribosomal RNA". It matches the Rfam family "Bacterial small subunit ribosomal RNA", at positions 355 to 883 of the family's 1533-position model. The record is from RNAcentral.